Molecule: ribosomal RNA, 253 nt
Filed under: uncultured bacterium
Lineage: Bacteria
Description: partial 16S ribosomal RNA
Rfam family: Bacterial small subunit ribosomal RNA
Source: RNAcentral
UACGUAGGGUGCAGGCGUUAAUCGGAAUUACUGGGCGUAAAGCGUGCGCAGGCGGUUUCUUAAGUCAGAUGUGAAAGCCCCGGGCUUAACCUGGGAACUGCGUUUGAAACUGGGAGUCUUGAGUGUGGCAGAGGGGGGUGGAAUUCCACGUGUAGCAGUGAAAUGCGUAGAUAUGUGGAGGAACACCGAUGGCGAAGGCAGCCCCCUGGGUUAACACUGACGCUCAUGCACGAAAGCGUGGGGAGCAAACAGG